UACGGAGGUGGCAAGCGUUGCUCGGAAUCACUGGGCGUAAAGGGCGCGUAGGCGGGGAGGUAAGUCGGGUGUGAAAUCCCUCGGCCCAACUGAGGAACUGCGCCCGAGACUGCUUCUCUUGAGUCCCGGAGAGGAAGAUGGAAUUCCCGGUGUAGCGGUGAAAUGUGUAGAGAUCGGGAGGAACACCUGUGGCGAAGGCGGCCGACUGGGCCGACCCUGACGCUGAGGCGCGAAGGCGUGGGGAGCGAACGGG
RNAcentral lists this ribosomal RNA (253 nucleotides) under uncultured bacterium. Its description in RNAcentral is "partial 16S ribosomal RNA". It matches the Rfam family "Bacterial small subunit ribosomal RNA", at positions 524 to 776 of the family's 1533-position model. The record is from RNAcentral.